This 491-nucleotide ribosomal RNA is filed under the name uncultured bacterium. Its description in RNAcentral is "partial 16S ribosomal RNA". It matches the Rfam family "Bacterial small subunit ribosomal RNA", at positions 29 to 507 of the family's 1533-position model. The record is from RNAcentral.
GUGAACGCUGGCGGUAGGCCUAACACAUGCAAGUCGAACGGCAGCACAGUAAGAGCUUGCUCUUACGGGUGGCGAGUGGCGGACGGGUGAGGAAUACAUCGGAAUCUACUUUUUCGUGGGGGAUAACGUAGGGAAACUUACGCUAAUACCGCAUACGACCUACGGGUGAAAGCAGGGGAUCUUCGGACCUUGCGCGAUUGAAUGAGCCGAUGCCGGAUUAGCUAGUUGGCGGGGUAAAGGCCCACCAAGGCGACGAUCCGUAGCUGGUCUGAGAGGAUGAUCAGCCACACUGGAACUGAGACACGGUCCAGACUCCUACGGGAGGCAGCAGUGGGGAAUAUUGGACAAAGGGCGCAAGCCUGAUCCAGCCAUACCGCGUGGGUGAAGAAGGCCUUCGGGUUGUAAAGCCCUUUUGUUGGGAAAGAAAAGCAGCAGGUUAAUACCCCGCUGUUCUGACGGUACCCAAAGAAUAAGCACCGGCUAACUUCGUG